RNAcentral lists this ribosomal RNA (420 nucleotides) under uncultured bacterium. RNAcentral's name for it is "SSU rRNA". It matches the Rfam family "Bacterial small subunit ribosomal RNA", at positions 370 to 808 of the family's 1533-position model. The record is from RNAcentral.
CAUGGGGGAACCCUGAUGCAGCGACGCCGCGUGGAGGAAGAAGGUCUUCCGAUUGUAAACUCCUGUUGUUGGGGAAGAUAAUGACGGUACCCAACAAGGAAGUGACGGCUAACUACGUGCCAGCAGCCGCGGUAAAACGUAGGUCACAAGCGUUGUCCGGAAUUACUGGGUGUAAAGGGAGCGCAGGCGGGAAGACAAGUUGGAAGUGAAAUCUAUGGGCUCAACCCAUAAACUGCUUUCAAAACUGUUUUUCUUGAGUAGUGCAGAGGUAGGCGGAAUUCCCGGUGUAGCGGUGGAAUGCGUAGAUAUCGGGAGGAACACCAGUGGCGAAGGCGGCCUACUGGGCACCAACUGACGCUGAGGCUCGAAAGUGUGGGUAGCAAACAGGAUUAGAUACCCUGGUAGUCCAAGGGCGAAUUC